This 979-nucleotide ribosomal RNA is filed under the name Aphanothece stagnina H7. RNAcentral describes it as "bacterial SSU rRNA". It matches the Rfam family "Bacterial small subunit ribosomal RNA", at positions 355 to 1347 of the family's 1533-position model. Lineage: Bacteria; Bacillati; Cyanobacteriota; Cyanophyceae; Chroococcales; Aphanothecaceae. The record is from RNAcentral.
UGGGGAAUUUUCCGCAAUGGGCGAAAGCCUGACGGAGCAAUACCGCGUGAGGGAGGAAGGCUCUUGGGUUGUAAACCUCUUUUCUCUGGGAAGAAAAAAAUGACGGUACCAGAGGAAUAAGCAUCGGCUAACUCCGUGCCAGCAACCGCGGUAAUACGGAGGAUGCAAGCGUUAUCUGGAAUCAUUGGGCGUAAAGCGUCCGUAGGUGGUUUUUCAAGUCUGCUGUCAAAGCCUGGGGCUUAACCCCAGAUAGGCAGUGGAAACUGGGAGACUAGAGUUCGGUAGGGGUAGCGGGAAUUCCCAGUGUAGCGGUGAAAUGCGUAGAUAUUGGGAAGAACAUCGGUGGCGAAGGCGCGCUACUGGGCCGAAACUGACACUCACAGGACGAAAGCUAGGGGAGCGAAAGGGAUUAGAUACCCCUGUAGUCCUAGCUGUAAACGAUGGAAACUAGGUGUGGCUUGUAUCGACCCGAGCCGUGCCGAAGCUAACGCGUUAAGUUUCCCGCCUGGGGAGUACGCACGCAAGUGUGAAACUCAAAGGAAUUGACGGGGGCCCGCACAAGCGGUGGAGUAUGUGGUUUAAUUCGAUGCAACGCGAAGAACCUUACCAGGGCUUGACAUGUCGCGAAUCUUCCAGAAAUGGGAGAGUGCCUUCGGGAGCGCGAACACAGGUGGUGCAUGGCUGUCGUCAGCUCGUGUCGUGAGAUGUUGGGUUAAGUCCCGCAACGAGCGCAACCCUCGUUUUUAGUUGCCAUCAUUAAGUUGGGCACUCUAGAGAGACUGCCGGUGACAAACCGGAGGAAGGUGAGGAUGACGUCAAGUCAGCAUGCCCCUUACGCCCUGGGCUACACACGUACUACAAUGGUUGGGACAACGGGUAGCGACCCCGCGAGGGCAAGCGAAUCUCAUCAAACCCAGCCUCAGUUCGGAUUGCAGGCUGCAACUCGCCUGCAUGAAGGAGGAAUCGCUAGUAAUCGCAG